UUUCCGUAGGUGAACCUGCGGAAGGAUCAUUCAUAAUAAGUGUUUUAUGGCACUUUUUUAAAUCCAUAUCUACCUUGUGUGCAAUGUCAGGGUUGAUUUUUCUCUCGAGAGGAUCAACCCCAAACAUCAACUAUAUCUCAACUCUUUGUCUGAAAAAUAUUAUGAAUAAAACAAUUCAAAAUACAACUUUCAACAACGGAUCUCUUGGCUCUC
Molecule: unclassified non-coding RNA, 213 nt
Filed under: plant metagenome
Description: partial contains small subunit ribosomal RNA, internal transcribed spacer 1, and 5.8S ribosomal RNA
Source: RNAcentral